AUUACGAACACCUGACCUGCAGUGCAGCAGAAUUCAGAGGUCCAGUUGAGGGCAUCAAGAACACGCAGAUGGCCUAAACCUGUGUCAGCCUGGACAGACUGCCGUUCUGCUACUCCACACCAAGGCUUUUGUAUAGAUGUCUUGACUGCUACUGUGUUCUCUAAAGGUUUUCUGGAAGCUCCAUUUGAGGGCAUCAAGGACAUACUGAUGGCCUAAACCAGUGUCAGCCUAGACAGACAGACAUCUAUUGCAGUUCUGCUACACAAGACCAAACUCUCUGCUUUUGUAUGGAUGUCUGACUAGUACGGUGUUCUCUAAAGGUGUAACUGGAGCAAAACAACAGCACCCGUUACAGUGACAUUUGUGUUCAUAAAAGAUAGUGAUAUAUCAGGUGUAGUAACAGGUCCAGUACAUUUGUCAUAAAGGUUAAAUCACAGUAAGUACUGUAAAAAUAACUUGUUUGCCUUUGCCACAACAGGUCAUGGUGUGUACUUACUGCUCGUAAUAAACACACACGCUGAUCUGAUGCGGGAGAGAUAUAUGCAAACACAUUAGUAUUUACUGUUUUGUUUUGCCUCACUAAAGUGUUGUUGGAGCUUGGUAUGUUCACAGUUGAAAUUACUGAAGUCACAUGGAACGUUUUGACAAUGUGUUUUGUGCCUUAUUAUGACAAUGACCAUCUUGGGACCAUUGCUGUCUGUAGAGGAUGAGGCAUUUAAUCUAAAAUAUUUUAGUUUGUGUUCUGAAGAUUAACAAGUCUCUGGGAUGACACAAGUAAUUAAUAACAGAACCUAUAUGAACACUUAAUG
RNAcentral lists this long non-coding RNA (809 nucleotides) under Danio rerio (zebrafish). Its description in RNAcentral is "si:ch211-116o3.7 (ENSDARG00000098034.3)". The record is from RNAcentral. Lineage: Eukaryota; Metazoa; Chordata; Actinopteri; Cypriniformes; Danionidae.